Sciurus vulgaris (Eurasian red squirrel) is the source of this 128-nucleotide small nucleolar RNA. Lineage: Eukaryota; Metazoa; Chordata; Mammalia; Rodentia; Sciuridae. The record is from Ensembl.
GUACAAACUAUCGCUAGCUCUGCAUGGGGGCAGAGCUAAGGGAACCUGGUUUGCUAGAGUAAUUGCAAGAACAGGAAUGUAUUAGCCUCACAAGUUCCUGCCAUGGUUCAUUCUAUCCUAGCAUAGUG